GGGGAUGUUUGUUCUUUACACUGCUCAAAUCUCGAUCGGUUUCAAUAUUUGAUCAGUGAUUGCAACUUGUUAUUUAUCUUUCUUUUGCUUUUCCCAUCAUAGUUUCUCUUUAUCGUUAUUAGUUGAAAUUGUAGAUAUAGGUCAGCGUCCAUCGACCCAUUGUGGGCAAGGAGGCUGACAAAAUUUUCUUAUGUUUGAAGAUGACAAUUAUUGUGGUGAAUUGACUGUUGUCAUUCUUAAGAGUUUCGUGUCAGAAUAUCCACAGUGGAAACAGCUGGCUCUCCUGCAUGAUCUACUAAUAAUUUACUUAUCAAAUGAACACCUUACUAUGCAUGUGUUAGAGGGAAGAUUGAGUACGUUGAUUCAUCCUAACCUCGUGGGAGUUUCGUACAUUUCUAGUUCAUUUGGAGAUCUUGAUUUGUGUUAAUCAUGAUUUUAAAUAAAAUAAACGUCUCUAAUUUCAGCUUUAAUCCUUGGCAAGUUCUUCAUUAGUUAGACAAAUUUGAUUGCAUAGGGUUUUGUAAAUCUGAAUAUCGUUAACAAUAACUUUAUUUUGAUUAACGUUAAUUUUUAAAUCACUAUUCACUAUAAUUUUAUCUUUUGUAGGAAAGAAAAAGAAAUCUGAUGUGGGGUUAAAUACCAUUUAUUUCUUGAUGUUGCUACUUUGUGAAAAAAAAGGGCAUGUGCUGUGGAGACCUCCGAAUGUGAUAGUUAGAAGAUGUGAAAUGAUUAAUAUUAGUGGUAUGAGACGAGAUCGAAGAAGACCUAAAAAGACUUUAAUAAAAACUAUCAAUAAAUAUUUAAUUAUUCUAAACUUAAAUAAACAUGGCUUUUUAUAGAUCUCAAUUGCGACAAAAGAUCUAUGUAGCUGAUCCCAAAUAGUUGAGAUUUACAACUUUGUUAUUAUUGUUAUUGUUACUUUGUGAAAGUAGUGCUGCAAGACUAUAGGACUAAAGCCUUUUUUUUUUGUUAAGGUUAAAUAUUUACCAUUCACUUCAAUUAAGGUUUCCUUCAUUUAAUUCACUUAUUAUUUUAUCAAACAUUCUCAGAAAAAAACCACAACCUAUUCGAUGGCCGACUCUGACAAGGCAGCUGUGGUUGUGUAACAGCCUACUCCAGCGGUUGACUAGACAAGGUGGCCGUGGUUGUCGAUGGUGCGGCAGCCAUUGCAGUGAGAGAUGAGGCUUUUGUGUGUGCUGUGCUACUCUAGAUCGGUGGCCACCUAAGAAAUGUGACUAUGGAUCAUGCUGCUGGGGGUUGGGUUCCAUGCUCUAUCUGAAUCUUUGCAACCCCAUCUUGUUGAGUGCAGUAAAAGCAUUUUCUCUGCUGAAACUUCGCAUCGGGGGUUCCUUGCAAGAGAAGGUCAUAUUCAACACAGGAAAUCCUCAGCAAUCAUGUGUGUCAUUCCUCAAGAAUACUUCUGAGAUGUUUGGUUUCUCUCAAGGAUGCUUACCCAUGCCCAGAUGGUUGAGCUGAAUGAGUUCUUCAAGACAGCAGGGUAGAAAUCUUCUCUAGCAAGUUCAAAUUUUACUGUUGAUGAAUAAUUUCUCUCUGAGACCACUCAGAAACUUCAUCCUAUCUUUUGCUCACACAUUAUUUUUGGGUUGAAUGCACUCGAUGGAAAAGUUCCUCUGAGUGAUGGUUCACUAGGACCUUGGAACAACACCAAUGCCACUUCUCUCAUUGGUAUACAAACAAUAAGGGUUGCACCAUCUGUUGUUGGGAGCUUGGCAAUGAACCAAGUGGAUCUGGAGAUGGAGCUACAAUUGGUGCAGACCAGUAUGCUGCAGAUGCUAUAGGAAUAUUUAAAGAAGGAUUGGCAUCAAAGUGACCUGCAGCUCUCGAGUGGGUUAAAUUGCAUAACUCUAUGGAUUAAUAAUUUUCAUACCAGUAUUUCCUAGAUAUCAUUGACCCGACAUACACUUACUAAAUAUUUUGGAUGUCAUUGACUUGACUAUUUCAUAGGGUCAUUUAUCACAUGGACAUCCUAAGAUCACAUUAUUGUCCCAAAAGGUACCUUGCGAUUUACAUUCUCAGUUCUCGAAUAUAAUUGUAGUUUACUUUACUACGAAUGUGUAGAUCUUUUAUCACAAUAUAGUAGUAGUAGUUUACUACGAAUGUUAGUCCUUUAUUAUAAUCAUUUCUUCAUCUUCUAUCUUAGACCAUAUGACAUUGUGUCGAGUUUUUGCUCCUUAAAUGUAACUCGUAUCAGUAAUGUGUUUUGUAUACUGGUUA
Musa acuminata subsp. malaccensis (wild Malaysian banana) is the source of this 2235-nucleotide non-coding RNA. NCBI's taxonomy places the organism in Eukaryota, Viridiplantae, Streptophyta, Magnoliopsida, Zingiberales, Musaceae. The record is from RefSeq and is a predicted model, not a curated record.